This 425-nucleotide ribosomal RNA is filed under the name uncultured Paenalcaligenes sp. RNAcentral describes it as "bacterial SSU rRNA". It matches the Rfam family "Bacterial small subunit ribosomal RNA", at positions 356 to 774 of the family's 1533-position model. Lineage: Bacteria; Pseudomonadati; Pseudomonadota; Betaproteobacteria; Burkholderiales; Alcaligenaceae. The record is from RNAcentral.
GGGGAAUUUUGGACAAUGGGGGGAACCCUGAUCCAGCCAUCCCGCGUGUAUGAUGAAGGCCUUCGGGUUGUAAAGUACUUUUGACAGGGAAGAAACGACACCACCUAAUACGUGGUGUUAAUGACGGUACCUGUAGAAUAAGCACCGGCUAACUACGUGCCAGCAGCCGCGGUAAUACGUAGGGUGCAAGCGUUAAUCGGAAUUACUGGGCGUAAAGGGUACGCAGGCGGCUAGGAAAGAAGGAUGUGAAAUCCCAGGGCUCAACCUUGGAACUGCAUUCUAACUGCACGGCUAGAGUUUGUCAGAGGAGGGUGUAAUUCCGCGUGUAGCAGUGAAAUGCGUAGAUAUGUGGAGGAAUACCGAUGGCGAAGGCAGCCCCCUGGGAUAAUACUGACGCUCAGGUACGAAAGCGUGGGGAGCAAACA